RNAcentral lists this ribosomal RNA (466 nucleotides) under uncultured bacterium. RNAcentral describes it as "partial 16S ribosomal RNA". It matches the Rfam family "Bacterial small subunit ribosomal RNA", at positions 28 to 507 of the family's 1533-position model. The record is from RNAcentral.
GACGAACGCUGGCGGCGUGCUUAACACAUGCAAGUCGAACGGAAAGGCCCUGCUUGCAGGGUACUCGAGUGGCGAACGGGUGAGUAACACGUGGGUGAUCUGCCCUGCACUUCGGGAUGAGCCUGGGAAACUGGGUCUAAUACCGGAUAGGAGCCAUUUUUAGUGUGAUGGUUGGAAAGUUUUUUUCGGUGUAGGAUGAGCUCGCGGCCUAUCAGCUUGUUGGUGGGGUAAUGGCCUACCAAGGCGGCGACGGGUAGCCGGCCUGAGAGGGUGGACGGCCACAUUGGGACUGAGAUACGGCCCAGACUCCUACGGGAGGCAGCAGUGGGGAAUAUUGCACAAUGGGCGCAAGCCUGAUGCAGCGACGCCGCGUGGGGGAUGACGGCCUUCGGGUUGUAAACUCCUUUCGCUAGGGACGAAGCUUUUUGUGACGGUACCUAGAUAAGAAGCACCGGCUAACUACGUG